RNAcentral lists this ribosomal RNA (447 nucleotides) under uncultured bacterium. RNAcentral describes it as "bacterial SSU rRNA". It matches the Rfam family "Bacterial small subunit ribosomal RNA", at positions 330 to 794 of the family's 1533-position model. The record is from RNAcentral.
UCCAGACUCCUACGGGAGGCAGCAGUAGGGAAUCUUUCACAAUGGGCGAAAGCCUGAUGGAGCAACGCCGCGUUCAGGAUGAAGGCCUUCGGGUUGUAAACUGCUUUUAUAAGCGAGAAAUAUGAUGGUAACUUAUGAAUAAGGAUCGGCUAACUACGUGCCAGCAGCCGCGGUAAUACGUAGGUGGCAAGCGUUAUCCGGAUUUACUUGGUGUAAAGGGUGUGUAGGCGGGACUGCAAGUCAGAUGUGAAAAUUAUGGGCUCAACCCAUGACCUGCAUUUGAAACUGUAGUUCUUGAGUGAUGGAGAGGCAGGCGGAAUUCCGUGUGUAGCGGUGAAAUGCGUAGAUAUACGGAGGAACACCAGUGGCGAAGGCGGCCUGCUGGACAUUAAAUGACGCUGAGGCGCGAAAGCGUGGGGAGCAAACAGGAUUAGAUACCCGGGUAAU